Molecule: ribosomal RNA, 490 nt
Filed under: uncultured bacterium
Lineage: Bacteria
Description: partial 16S ribosomal RNA
Rfam family: Bacterial small subunit ribosomal RNA
Source: RNAcentral
GAUGAACGCUCGCUACAGGCUUAACACAUGCAAGUCGCGGGGCAGCAUGGGGGUUGCUUGCAAUCCCCGAUGGCGACCGGCGCACGGGUGAGUAACGCGUAUCCAACCUGCCCUUCACCACGGGAUAACCCGGCGAAAGUCGGACUAAUACCGUAUGUUGUCCAUUGACGGCAUCCGAUUUGGACGAAAGGUUUGGCGGUGAAGGAUGGGGAUGCGUCCGAUUAGCUGGACGGCGGGGUGACGGCCCACCGUGGCGACGAUCGGUAGGGGUUCUGAGAGGAAGGUCCCCCACACUGGAACUGAGACACGGUCCAGACUCCUACGGGAGGCAGCAGUGAGGAAUAUUGGUCAAUGGGCGUAAGCCUGAACCAGCCAAGUAGCGUGCAGGAUGACGGCCCUAUGGGUUGUAAACUGCUUUUAUGCGGGGAUAAAGUGGCCCACGUGUGGGUUUUUGCAGGUACCGCAUGAAUAAGAACCGGCUAAUUCCGUG